RNAcentral lists this ribosomal RNA (1383 nucleotides) under uncultured bacterium. Its description in RNAcentral is "bacterial SSU rRNA". It matches the Rfam family "Bacterial small subunit ribosomal RNA", at positions 18 to 1395 of the family's 1533-position model. The record is from RNAcentral.
CCUGGCUCAGGAUGAACGCUAGCUACAGGCUUAACACAUGCAAGUCGAGGGGCAUCAGGAAGAAAGCUUGCUUUCUUUGCUGGCGACCGGCGCACGGGUGAGUAACACGUAUCCAACCUGCCCUUUACUCGGGGAUAGCCUUUCGAAAGAAAGAUUAAUACCCGAUAGCAUAAUGAUUCCGCAUGGUUUCAUUAUUAAAGGAUUCCGGUAAAGGAUGGGGAUGCGUUCCAUUAGGUUGUUGGUGAGGUAACGGCUCACCAAGCCUUCGAUGGAUAGGGGUUCUGAGAGGAAGGUCCCCCACAUUGGAACUGAGACACGGUCCAAACUCCUACGGGAGGCAGCAGUGAGGAAUAUUGGUCAAUGGGCGCUAGCCUGACCCAGCCAAGUAGCGUGAAGGAUGAAGGCUCUAUGGGUCGUAAACUUCUUUUAUAUAAGAAUAAAGUGCAGUAUGUAUACUGUUUUGUAUGUAUUAUAUGAAUAAGGAUCGGCUAACUCCGUGCCAGCAGCCGCGGUAAUACGGAGGAUCCGAGCGUUAUCCGGAUUUAUUGGGUUUAAAGGGAGCGUAGGUGGACUGGUAAGUCAGUUGUGAAAGUUUGCGGCUCAACCGUAAAAUUGCAGUUGAUACUGUCAGUCUUGAGUACAGUAGAGGUGGGCGGAAUUCGUGGUGUAGCGGUGAAAUGCUUAGAUAUCACGAAGAACUCCGAUUGCGAAGGCAGCUCACUGGACUGCAACUGACACUGAUGCUCGAAAGUGUGGGUAUCAAACAGGAUUAGAUACCCUGGUAGUCCACACAGUAAACGAUGAAUACUCGCUGUUUGCGAUAUACAGUAAGCGGCCAAGCGAAAGCAUUAAGUAUUCCACCUGGGGAGUACGCCGGCAACGGUGAAACUCAAAGGAAUUGACGGGGGCCCGCACAAGCGGAGGAACAUGUGGUUUAAUUCGAUGAUACGCGAGGAACCUUACCCGGGCUUAAAUUGCAGUGGAAUGAUGUGGAAACAUGUCAGUGAGCAAUCACCGCUGUGAAGGUGCUGCAUGGUUGUCGUCAGCUCGUGCCGUGAGGUGUCGGCUUAAGUGCCAUAACGAGCGCAACCCUUAUCUUUAGUUACUAACAGGUCAUGCUGAGGACUCUAGAGAGACUGCCGUCGUAAGAUGUGAGGAAGGUGGGGAUGACGUCAAAUCAGCACGGCCCUUACGUCCGGGGCUACACACGUGUUACAAUGGGGGGUACAGAAGGCAGCUAGCGGGUGACCGUAUGCUAAUCCCAAAAUCCUCUCUCAGUUCGGAUCGAAGUCUGCAACCCGACUUCGUGAAGCUGGAUUCGCUAGUAAUCGCGCAUCAGCCACGGCGCGGUGAAUACGUUCCCGGGCCUUGUACACACCGCCC